This 489-nucleotide ribosomal RNA is filed under the name Triticum aestivum (bread wheat). RNAcentral's name for it is "partial small subunit ribosomal RNA". Lineage: Eukaryota; Viridiplantae; Streptophyta; Magnoliopsida; Poales; Poaceae. The record is from RNAcentral.
AUGUGCAUCUUCCUUCCGGAUGCCCUCGACGGCUUGCCGGGCCUGGUUGACAUGAUAGCAUCCCAGCCUGCUGACUUCUUGGAAAAGCACCUGCCGGAGGAGAAGAUCGAUGUUAGGGAGUUCCGGGUGCCCAAGUUCAAGCUCUCCUUCCAUGACAGUGUCGUCGCCAUCCUCAAGAAGCUGGGGCUUCAGUUGUCGUUCAGUGAUCAAGCCGAUUUGUCUGACAUGGUGGAGGAUGAUGAAUCUGGCUUGCCAUUGGUCUUGAACGACGUAAUCCACAAGGCGGUCAUCGAGGUAACCGAAGAAGGCACCAUAGCCGCGGCUGUGUCCAUAGAAGAAAUGUUAUUCGGUGGUUGUAAUUUCAUGCGUCCGCCACCUCCUCGAGUAGAUUUUGUAGCCGACCAUCCGUUUGCGUACUUAAUAGUGGAGGAGACAACCGGCGCAGUUGUCUUUGCAGGGCAUGUCCUUGACCCCUCCAUUGAGAGCUAG